This is a long non-coding RNA of Pezoporus occidentalis (night parrot), 2863 nucleotides long. RefSeq lists it as uncharacterized. NCBI's taxonomy places the organism in Eukaryota, Metazoa, Chordata, Aves, Psittaciformes, Psittacidae. The transcript has 2 exons. The record is from RefSeq and is a predicted model, not a curated record.
UUCCUCACUCCACCUUCCCAGAGGGUCAGUGUGCUGCCUUGAGGUGAAGGACCCGUCUGGAAUCAUCCGCCCCUGUUGAGGGUCAGCUCCCACCUCUCCUCACAGCCUCCAGCUCUCCACAAAGCCACCUUCAUUUGAGGAGAUGGUGUUACCAUUAGGGACAGGCAUGGGGCUGAGAGAAAAGCCAAGGCAAGCUGGGGAUGGAGCUUGGGAUGUGCUGUGGGCUGUGGGAGCGAGGAGCAGAGGGGGUGAUGGUGUGGGUUGAGCACCACGUCCAUGAGGAAUGGCUGUUUGCCUGCAAAGCUGCUUGCGGGUCAAGGGGACUCACAUUUCUGCUAAACAGUCCGGUAUAUCUUCACCUUGUGUAAUCUCAGCUGGACCCUUUGCUGUCGUGCUCCCCACCUGUAAAACCUCUGCUUUUGAAUCUUAAGAGAAAUCUUUACGGUGGUCAGUAAAUCCUAAUGCUGUGCUUGUUCUGUUUUAUGAGAUUUCCACUAACACUCGGCUGUGGAGAUUUGUCACUUGUCCGAUCUAACAGCUCUAAGGACACAGCAGACUUAGGCUGAGGGGGGAAGAAGUCAGCUGGCUCCAUCGCGUUUAAAUGAGCUUCAGGUUCGGUACAUUAAUGUGCUAAUAAGGAAGUCUUGUGUUCCCACACUGUUCUUAAAGGCAUUCUCACACUGCUGACCUGACCUCUUUAAUCCUGGCUUUCCUGAAGGAAAAUCUGAUCCAUCAGGCCUCCUAUAUCUAAAAUGGGAUGAAAGGAAGAGAUGGACCUAUUUCUAUGCUGGUGUUUCUCAGAAGUCAAAGAAACUCCACUGAAGUCACAAAUGUGAAGCCAGUAGUAAUGGCAGCAGAGUGGGACUUCUCUACAACACAGUGUGGUUACCUUCCAGUAGGGCCAGUCUGCAAGAAUUCAGGGAAGAAUGAAAGCUGUGUAUGACAGGUCCAUUGUGGUCUGUGGUACCACAUAGUCCCCAGAAUACUCAACCUUAGAAUGUUGUGCAGCCCUGAGAUGCAAAACACUGCAUCCCUGUGCUCAGAGCCAGCCCAAGGUAUUUGAACCACAGCCUAAGGAGCUGGUGGGAGCCCUCUUGAAGGCUUGAAGUGCAUCUAAUACAUGAGUUGUUCUGCCAGGGCUUAUGUCUGUCUUAGUUAAAGCUGCCAAGCUAUGGAUAUUGCCAGGCUACAGCUGACAGAAAUUAGUAAGGAUAGUUGUAAAUGAAGUUUUGUAAUGUCCUAAGUCUACAAGGGAGCUUUUAAAAUCAGUUCACAAGCUAAACAGUGAUCCAACUGUUCUGAGACUUUCCAAGAGAUUGCUUGGUUUUCCAUUUUCCCCCCUGUAUUUUCAGUUCUGGGAUAUCUCUUUUGUUAAAUGGAGUGCUUAAGAGUAAACAUAGUGAUUGCAGUCUCUGGAAACCUGUGAGGCUACGAGGGAAAUCCACCAUAGCGUUUCAAAUAAAUAAAUAAGUCAAAGGUUUGCUUAGGAAUUUGUCACAAACCUCCAAAGCGAUGCAAACGCCCUCAGUAUCUUGUUUCAUUCCCAGCUGGAGAAGUCAGGCCAGAAUCACUGAACAUUUCACCAAGUCUUGCUAACCUCCUGAGCUGAGUUGUGAGAAAUUGUUCUUGACAUCACAUGAGCUGGGCCACAAGGCAGGACUAAUGUGAUAUUUGCUGUCGAAGCAUGUUUCCUAGGAAACAUGGUACUUAGAGAGCUCAGCCCUCCCUGCCACCCUUCCCGCAUCCUCCAGUUUCACCCGUUCCCACAGCAUCUGCAGAGGGCAGGGAUGUCUCCUCUGACCCCCAGACACCCUCAGUGUGGACCUCCCGCUGCAGUGUGAUGCUUCCCAGCAGCCCAUGCACCCAGCUGAAGGCUGAGUGGUUGUGGAGGUUCUGAUUCACCCAUCUCAUUGCCCUUUUUACUGCGAUUUAUCCAUUUCCCUGCCUUUUCUUUCUCCAGCAGGCUGCAAUGGGAGCGAUAGAGAAGCUAGGUUAUAUCCUUCAAGACUGCUGCUGGAGAGAAGGAAGUUUGAGCCUUCCCAGCAAUCUUAGCAUUCCCUGUCGAAGGAGAACUGGUGGAAAAAUGAUAGGAAAAUCAGCAGAUUACUUAAAACUUCACUUGCCAUGAGGCUCCUCAUCUUUUUUGACUGCAGUUUGCAGUACAGUAGUUAUUAUGGUACAGGGAUUUUUAGAUCAUUGGGGUUCCCCAGUUCACUCUCACAAUCUCAUCUAGUGGCUGUAGAUGCUGUCCUUGACAUGAGACUAGCAUAAAUGAUUUCUGUCAUUCAGGCCAAACUUUUCAGCAGGAUAGUUCCCAUUGAGGAUGAAAUGAAAGGAGUCGGUUCACACAUGUUAACCAAAUGCAAAUCCUUAGAUGGAAACUCAUGGUCAGCUUUUUCCAAAGCUAUUUUCAGAACUUCCACAAAAGACUGUGCUGUGAUUAUAUGUAUUCAUGAUAUGUAUAUCAUGCAUUCAGCUCAAACAAUAUUUGAAUGAUGCAUUUAGAAUUCCUCCUAAAAAAGGACCAUGCUUCUGUAAACUGCAUCAUAUUUGUAAAAGAGGAAAAAGAAACCUAGCUUGCUUUUCCUUUCUUUCUCUCUUUCUUUUUAAUAUACCAUUUCAUAAGGCUGUAAGAAUUGGUGUUAAUGCUACGAUACACACAGACACACUUCUACAUAAUCAGAUGCAUUUGCAUGUAUGCCAUACAUAAACAACCCUAUGGAAUCCCGACUCUUCACUGUUGAAUUUGUCUCCUUAUUUUUCAAAGCAGAGAAGCCCCUGGUGUCAAGCAGUUGGUGUUUUUUACUUUCACUGGACUGUAGAGCAAAUACAGCCAACAAAAUAAAGCACUCGGGGGGUUGUA